RNAcentral lists this transfer-messenger RNA (393 nucleotides) under Phycisphaeraceae. RNAcentral describes it as "UBA7800 sp016763955 Standard tmRNA". It matches the Rfam family "transfer-messenger RNA". From Rfam's summary of the family: Bacterial tmRNA, also known as 10Sa RNA or SsrA, is named for its dual tRNA and mRNA-like properties. Its role is to liberate the mRNA from a stalled ribosome. Lineage: Bacteria; Pseudomonadati; Planctomycetota; Phycisphaerae; Phycisphaerales. RNAcentral also lists the same sequence under 1 other name. The record is from RNAcentral.
GGGGCCGAUCGGUAUCGACCGGAUAGCUCCGGUAUAUUGUGGCACGUCGAGGUGUACGCUGGCCUCGUUAAACCGCGUACAAAAACCAUAAAUGCCAAUGACAAUGUCAUCGGUCGCAUCGGCUUUGCUUCGGCACAGCCUCUGCGCAUGGCUGCCUAAAUAUAGGCACCCUCGUUGUUUUAUCACAUGUCUGUGGUGAUGACUCAACGGCGACUUAACAGACUCGUCCCAAGGUGACGCCUUAGCACCUAACGGACUAAACCUUUCUCAGGCUGGACUCCAACAAUGCUGUCGCUGGCAGUGGUGGAUUCGAGAUUAAAUCAGCGAAUAAACGUGUAGAGGCGAUAUAUCAACUACCACGGGACGGGGGUUCAAUUCCCCCCGGCUCCAUUU